Molecule: non-coding RNA, 661 nt
Organism: Vicugna pacos (alpaca)
Lineage: Eukaryota; Metazoa; Chordata; Mammalia; Artiodactyla; Camelidae
Source: RefSeq, a predicted model, not a curated record
UUUGUAAAAUGAACUUUCCAUCCACAGCCAAAUCUUUGAUUUCCUGAAGAGCUGAAGAGUCGGAGCCCCUGGCUGGGGUAAGUGAAAAGCUGCUCAUCCUCUGGCUUCGUUUGAUGCCUUCAUGAAGAUCUGAAAGCAUACGCCUGAAGAAGUAAUGGAAAGUGAGAAGGGCAAGACAUCCUAGACAUGGACUUGAAGGUGUGCAGGAGGAGUCAGAGAGACAGACACGAGCUGACCUUGAGGUGCUGACUCGUGGGGAUGUCUGGCACUUCAUCUUAUGGCCUAAUGUGAGCAGCUGAUCUCCUGCUCUGCAGUGCUCCUCGGUGCUGCCUGCCCCACCUGCGUUCCAGCCUGUCAAUCAUCACCCGGUGAUGGUGGCUGACCUUCCAAAAUGAUAGUGAAUGGAAGAUGCAUCAACAGAGAUGAUAAUUUGAGUAUCUCAUCCAGCUAGGAGAGGAUGUUCCAUGCCCUGACUUCACAAAACCAUUAUUUCAACCAAAGUGGAUGGAUCAAUCUCAUGCAGUGUAAAAGCAGGCAGACCCACUGGGAAAGAGUGAAGUUAACAAAUGAAAGGAGAAGGCAAAAGGACAGAAUGAAUGUCAGAAGUGGGGUAAAAGUUUUUUUAAAAAAGGACCGAGAGAAAUCAAGGAUAACGUGUAAG